AUCAUGCCGCGUGAGUGAAGAAGGCCUUCGGGUUGUAAAGCUCUUUUGUCAGGAAGAAACACCGGCUCUAACACAGUCCGGGAAUGACGGUACCUGAAGAAUAAGCACCGGCUAACUACGUGCCAGCAGCCGCGGUAAUACGUAGGGUGCGAGCGUUAAUCGGAAUUACUGGGCGUAAAGCGUGCGCAGGCGGUUAUACAAGACAGGCGUGAAAUCCCCGGGCUUAACCUGGGAAUGGCGCCUGUGACUGUAUGGCUAGAGUGUGUCAGAGGGGGGUAGAAUUCCACGUGUAGCAGUGAAAUGCGUAGAU
Molecule: ribosomal RNA, 310 nt
Filed under: uncultured bacterium
Lineage: Bacteria
Description: bacterial SSU rRNA
Rfam family: Bacterial small subunit ribosomal RNA
Source: RNAcentral